GUAAGUAUGUUGGAAUGGUAGACAAGUCGUGCUUAGGACACGAUGGUUUAUACUGUGUGGGUUCAAGUCCCACUACUUACA
RNAcentral lists this transfer RNA (81 nucleotides) under Meira sp. (in: smut fungi & allies). RNAcentral describes it as "Meira sp. tRNA-Leu". It matches the Rfam family "tRNA". From Rfam's summary of the family: Transfer RNA (tRNA) molecules are approximately 80 nucleotides in length. Their secondary structure includes four short double-helical elements and three loops (D, anti-codon, and T loops). Lineage: Eukaryota; Fungi; Basidiomycota; Exobasidiomycetes; Exobasidiales; Brachybasidiaceae. The record is from RNAcentral.